CAGCUACUCCCUCCGUCCGAAAAUAGUUGUCAUCAAAAAGAGUAAAAGGGAAUGUAUCUAGAUGUAUUUUAGUUCUAGAUACAUCUCUUUUCAUCCAUUUUGAUGACAACUAUUUUCGGACGGAGGGAGUACUAU
This is a non-coding RNA of Triticum aestivum (bread wheat), 135 nucleotides long. The record is from Rfam. NCBI's taxonomy places the organism in Eukaryota, Viridiplantae, Streptophyta, Magnoliopsida, Poales, Poaceae.